RNAcentral lists this long non-coding RNA (508 nucleotides) under Olea europaea (common olive). RNAcentral describes it as "long non-coding RNA (OEUR_LNC013171)". The record is from RNAcentral. Lineage: Eukaryota; Viridiplantae; Streptophyta; Magnoliopsida; Lamiales; Oleaceae.
GAAAUUAGAGGCACACUGCCCGACAGGAAAAAAAACCAUUGAGAGAGAGAAAGAAAGAUCAGAAUACAUCCUAGAAAUUAUACACACGCAGUAGAGAGAGGUAAAAUAUUUUGAAGAGAAAGCAAGCUAAUUUUAUUGACGCAGUCAAGAAAUUCAGAAAUUUGGAACACGCAUUCAUAUUUUUGGAAUUUUAAUAUCAAGGUAAGAUACAUUUAUGUGCAAAGUGUUUACGUUUCCUUAUGCUCUUAUAUGCGAUUAAAUAUGCAUGGAAUGCUAGUGGACCUACGGGUUCUAGAGAAAGAUAUAUGAAAUUUCUACAUGGAAAUUAAGAGGACCUAAGAUGGGUGUGUCACUUGGUCAUCGAUAUACUCCAUAAGAGAAGAGCGGUAUGAAGUGUAUUAUUUAUUUGUUAUAUAUCUGUGUAAGAAAAUUUGCACGUAUCUUACUGGGUAUUUUUAAAAUACUCACUCUUACAUUAAUUUUACAGAUUAGUUCGGGUCGAUUGGAG